AGAGCGAACGCUGGCGGCAGGCCUAAAACAUGCAAGUCGAACGGACCCUUCGGGGUUAGUGGCGGACGGGUGAGUAACACGUGGGAACGUGCCUUUUGGUUCAGAACAACUCAGGGAAACUUGAGCUAAUACUGAAUAAGCCCUACGGGGGAAAGAUUUAUCGCCAUUAGAGCGGCCCGCGUCUGAUUAGCUAGUUGGUGAGGUAAAGGCUCACCAAGGCUACGAUCAGUAGCUGGUCUGAGAGGAUGAUCAGCCACACUGGGACUGAGACACGGCCCAGACUCCUACGGGAGGCAGCAGUUAGGAAUCUUGCGCAAUGGGCGAAAGCCUGACGCAGCCAUGCCGCGUGAAUGAUGAAGGUCUUAGGAUUGUAAAAUUCUUUCAGUGGGAAGAUAAUGACUGUACCCACAGAAGAAGCUCCGGCUAACUUCGUGCCAGCAGCCGC
Molecule: ribosomal RNA, 445 nt
Filed under: uncultured bacterium
Lineage: Bacteria
Description: SSU rRNA
Rfam family: Bacterial small subunit ribosomal RNA
Source: RNAcentral